Molecule: ribosomal RNA, 350 nt
Filed under: uncultured bacterium
Lineage: Bacteria
Description: bacterial SSU rRNA
Rfam family: Bacterial small subunit ribosomal RNA
Source: RNAcentral
AAUCAACGCUGGCGGCGUGCCUAACACAUGCAAGUCGAACGAGAAGGUGACUUCGGUCACUGGAUAGUGGCGUCCGGGUGAGUAACACGUAGGUAAUCUACCUUCGGGUGGGGAAUAACGUCUCGAAAGAGACGCUAAUACCGCAUAAUGCAGCGGCACCUAAUGGUGAUUAGUUGUUAAAGCGGGGGAGUCUUCGGUACCUCGCGCCUGAAGAGGAGCCUGCGGCAGAUUAGCUAGUUGGUGAGGUAAUGGCUCACCAAGGCUUCGAUCUGUAGCUGGUCUGAGAGGACGGCCAGCCACACUGGCACUGACACACGGGCCAGACUCCUACGGGAGGCAGCAGUGGGGAA